UAUGAAGGUCAGGCUGAAGACCUUACCCGAUUAGCUGAGAGGUGGUGCAUGGCCGUCGUCAGUUCGUACUGUGAAGCAUCCUGUUAAGUCAGGCAACGAGCGAGACCCACGUCCACAGUUGCCAGCAUACCCUCCGGGGUGAUGGGUACACUGUGGAGACCGCCGCUGCUAAAGCGGAGGAAGGAGUGGGCAACGGUAGGUCAGUAUGCCCCGAAUCUCCCGGGCUACACGCGGGCUACAAUGGUUGGUGCAAUGGGCAUCUACCCCGAAAGGGGAAGGAAAUCUCUUAAAGCCAAUCGUAGUUCGGAUUGAGGGCUGCAACUCGCCCUCAUGAAGCUGGAAUCCGAAGUAAUCGCGUUUCAACAGAACGCGGUGAAUACGUCCCUGCUCCUU
This 393-nucleotide ribosomal RNA is filed under the name uncultured Methanosaeta sp. RNAcentral describes it as "bacterial SSU rRNA". It matches the Rfam family "Archaeal small subunit ribosomal RNA", at positions 946 to 1338 of the family's 1478-position model. Lineage: Archaea; Methanobacteriati; Methanobacteriota; Methanomicrobia; Methanotrichales; Methanotrichaceae. The record is from RNAcentral.